UUGGUUAAGUUAGAAAGGGCGCACGGUGGAUGCCUUGGCACUAGGAGCCGAAGAAGGACGGGACUAACACCGAUAUGCUUUGGGGAGCUGUACGUAAGCGUUGAUCCAGAGAUUUCCGAAUGGGGGAACCCACUAUCUUUAGUCGGAUAGUAUCCUUACGUGAAUACAUAGCGUGAGGAAGGCAGACCCAGGGAACUGAAACAUCUAAGUACCUGGAGGAAGAGAAAGAAAAAUCGAUUUCCUGAGUAGCGGCGAGCGAAACGGAAAGAGCCCAAACCAAGAAGCUUGCUUCUUGGGGUUGUAGGACACUCUAUACGGAGUUACAAAAGAAAGUUAUAAAUGAAGCGGUCUGGAAAGGCCCGCCAAAGACGGUAACAGCCCGGUAGUUGAAAUGGCUUUCCCUCCAGAGUGGAUCCUGAGUACGGCGGAACACGUGAAAUUCCGUCGGAAUCCGGGAGGACCAUCUCCCAAGGCUAAAUACUCCCUAGUGACCGAUAGUGAACCAGUACCGUGAGGGAAAGGUGAAAAGCACCCCGGAAGGGGAGUGAAACAGUUCCUGAAACCGUGUGCCUACAAGUAGUUAGAGCCCGUUAAUGGGUGAUAGCGUGCCUUUUGUAGAAUGAACCGGCGAGUUACGAUUUGUUGCAAGGUUAAGCGGAAAAAGCGGAGCCGUAGCGAAAGCGAGUCUGAAUAGGGCGCAUAAGUAACAGGUCGUAGACCCGAAACCAGGUGAUCUACCCAUGUCCAGGAUGAAGGUAAGGUAAUACUUACUGGAGGUCCGAACCCACGCACGUUGAAAAGUGCGGGGAUGAGGUGUGGGUAGCGGAGAAAUUCCAAUCGAACUUGGAGAUAGCUGGUUCUCUCCGAAAUAGCUUUAGGGCUAGCCUCGAGGUAAAGAGUCAUGGAGGUAGAGCACUGUUUGGACUAGGGGCCCUUCUCGGGUUACCGAAUUCAGAUAAACUCCGAAUGCCAUGUACUUAUACUCGGGAGUCAGACUGCGAGUGAUAAGAUCCGUAGUCGAAAGGGAAACAGCCCAGACCACCAGUUAAGGUCCCCAAAUAUAUGUUAAGUGGAAAAGGAUGUGGGGUUGCUUAGACAACCAGGAUGUUGGCUUAGAAGCAGCCACCAUUGAAAGAGUGCGUAAUAGCUCACUGGUCGAGUGACCCCGCGCCGAAAAUGUACCGGGGCUAAACAUAUUACCGAAACUGUGGAUGAACCUCUUUAGAGGUUCGUGGUAGGAGAGCGUUCUAAGGGCGGUGAAGUCAGACCGGAAGGACUGGUGGAGCGCUUAGAAGUGAGAAUGCCGGUAUGAGUAGCGAAAGAAGGGUGAGAAUCCCUUCCACCGAAUAUCUAAGGUUUCCUGAGGAAGGCUCGUCCGCUCAGGGUUAGUCGGGACCUAAGCCGAGGCCGAUAGGCGUAGGCGAUGGACAACAGGUAGAGAUUCCUGUACCAGUGCUAAUUGUUUAACCGAUGGGGUGACACAGAAGGAUAGGGAAUCGCACGAAUGGAAAUGUGCGUCCAAGCAGUGAGUGUGA
Molecule: ribosomal RNA, 1535 nt
Filed under: Listeria monocytogenes
Lineage: Bacteria; Bacillati; Bacillota; Bacilli; Caryophanales; Listeriaceae
Also listed under: 1 other name
Description: bacterial LSU rRNA
Rfam family: Bacterial large subunit ribosomal RNA
Source: RNAcentral